UAUUAUGGCCGUGCCACCCUGAACAAGCCUGAUCCCAUCUGAUCUUGGAAGCUAAGCAGGGUCAGGCCUGGUUAGUACUUGGAUGGGAGGAGACAACUUGGAAAUCAAAGAAA
RNAcentral lists this ribosomal RNA (113 nucleotides) under Pteropus alecto (black flying fox). The record is from RNAcentral. Lineage: Eukaryota; Metazoa; Chordata; Mammalia; Chiroptera; Pteropodidae.